This 128-nucleotide small nucleolar RNA is filed under the name Dasypus novemcinctus (nine-banded armadillo). RNAcentral's name for it is "Small nucleolar RNA SNORA44 (ENSDNOG00000028644.1)". It matches the Rfam family "Small nucleolar RNA SNORA44". From Rfam's summary of the family: ACA44 is a member of the H/ACA class of snoRNA that guide the sites of modification of uridines to pseudouridines. The record is from RNAcentral. Lineage: Eukaryota; Metazoa; Chordata; Mammalia; Cingulata; Dasypodidae.
AAACAUGUCGAGGUUUAUUGAAACUAAGAUUGAAAUGUUCUCCAACUGCAUGCGAGAGCAACCUGGAGAGACUUUGACAGCUCAGGUCAGCGGAGUACCUGCAGCUGCCACUCGACUUUCCUAUAAUG